UUUAUCGGAGAGUUUGAUCCUGGCUCAGGACGAACGCUGGCGGCGUGCCUAAUACAUGCAAGUCGAGCGGACAGAUGGGAGCUUGCUCCCUGAUGUUAGCGGCGGACGGGUGAGUAACACGUGGGUAACCUGCCUGUAAGACUGGGAUAACUCCGGGAAACCGGGGCUAAUACCGGAUGGUUGUCUGAACCGCAUGGUUCAGACAUAAAAGGUGGCUUCGGCUACCACUUACAGAUGGACCCGCGGCGCAUUAGCUAGUUGGUGAGGUAACGGCUCACCAAGGCGACGAUGCGUAGCCGACCUGAGAGGGUGAUCGGCCACACUGGGACUGAGACACGGCCCAGACUCCUACGGGAGGCAGCAGUAGGGAAUCUUCCGCAAUGGACGAAAGUCUGACGGAGCAACGCCGCGUGAGUGAUGAAGGUUUUCGGAUCGUAAAGCUCUGUUGUUAGGGAAGAACAAGUGCCGUUCAAAUAGGGCGGCACCUUGACGGUACCUAACCAGAAAGCCACGGCUAACUACGUGCCAGCAGCCGCGGUAAUACGUAGGUGGCAAGCGUUGUCCGGAAUUAUUGGGCGUAAAGGGCUCGCAGGCGGUUUCUUAAGUCUGAUGUGAAAGCCCCCGGCUCAACCGGGGAGGGUCAUUGGAAACUGGGGAACUUGAGUGCAGAAGAGGAGAGUGGAAUUCCACGUGUAGCGGUGAAAUGCGUAGAGAUGUGGAGGAACACCAGUGGCGAAGGCGACUCUCUGGUCUGUAACUGACGCUGAGGAGCGAAAGCGUGGGGAGCGAACAGGAUUAGAUACCCUGGUAGUCCACGCCGUAAACGAUGAGUGCUAAGUGUUAGGGGGUUUCCGCCCCUUAGUGCUGCAGCUAACGCAUUAAGCACUCCGCCUGGGGAGUACGGUCGCAAGACUGAAACUCAAAGGAAUUGACGGGGGCCCGCACAAGCGGUGGAGCAUGUGGUUUAAUUCGAAGCAACGCGAAGAACCUUACCAGGUCUUGACAUCCUCUGACAAUCCUAGAGAUAGGACGUCCCCUUCGGGGGCAGAGUGACAGGUGGUGCAUGGUUGUCGUCAGCUCGUGUCGUGAGAUGUUGGGUUAAGUCCCGCAACG
Molecule: ribosomal RNA, 1113 nt
Filed under: Bacillus velezensis
Lineage: Bacteria; Bacillati; Bacillota; Bacilli; Caryophanales; Bacillaceae
Description: bacterial SSU rRNA
Rfam family: Bacterial small subunit ribosomal RNA
Source: RNAcentral